Corticium candelabrum is the source of this 304-nucleotide long non-coding RNA. RefSeq lists it as uncharacterized. The record is from RefSeq and is a predicted model, not a curated record. The transcript is spliced from 2 exons. Lineage: Eukaryota; Metazoa; Porifera; Homoscleromorpha; Homosclerophorida; Plakinidae.
GACUUCUGUCUAAAUCUGCACAGCAAAGUGAGGUGCCAGUCAACUGGUCGUUUCCGUUUUGUUCUGCGUGUUAGUCUCUACUUUGUGUACUAUGGAGAUGCUCCCAGAAAGGUCACUUUUAGAGCCAAGGGGGCAUACAAGAACUUGGAAGACAGUCUCUGUUUUGGUUUGAAAGCGGAGAAUGAGUGAAAUGGUUGAAAUAACUUUGAUUUUGAUUGUCCCAAUGAGACAGUGAGAGAAACUUGGUACAAGACACUUGCUUGUUUGGCAAGAAAGAAUUUGCCGUUUUAAAGUUUGUGUGUGU